Molecule: ribosomal RNA, 497 nt
Filed under: uncultured bacterium
Lineage: Bacteria
Description: partial 16S ribosomal RNA
Rfam family: Bacterial small subunit ribosomal RNA
Source: RNAcentral
GACGAACGCUGGCGGCGUGCCUAAUACAUGCAAGUUGAGCGCUGAAGGUUGGUACUUGUACCAACUGGGUGAGCAGCGAACGGGUGAGUAACGCGUGGGGAAUCUGCCUUUGAGCGGGGGACAACAUUUGGAAACGAAUGCUAAUACCUCAUAAAAACUUUAAACACAAGUUUUAAGUUUGAAAGAUGCAAUUGCAUCACUCAAAGAUGAUCCCGCGUUGUAUUAGCUAGUUGGUGAGGUAAAGGCUCACCAAGGCGAUGAUACAUAGCCGACCUGAGAGGGUGAUCGGCCACAUUGGGACUGAGACACGGCCCAAACUCCUACGGGAGGCAGCAGUAGGGAAUCUUCGGCAAUGGACGAAAGUCUGACCGAGCAACGCCGCGUGAGUGAAGAAGGUUUUCGGAUCGUAAAACUCUGUUGGUAGAGAAGAACGUUGGUGAGAGUGGAAAGCUCAUCAAGUGACGGUAACUACCCAGAAAGGGACGGCUAACUACGUG